RNAcentral lists this long non-coding RNA (1171 nucleotides) under Mus spicilegus (steppe mouse). RNAcentral describes it as "lncRNA (ENSMSIG00000009023.1)". The record is from RNAcentral. Lineage: Eukaryota; Metazoa; Chordata; Mammalia; Rodentia; Muridae.
UGUCACUGUCCUUGACUCGGCUGGACCUGCCUCUGAAGCUGAGGCCUCUUGGCUGCGGGAGAGCAAUCAGGUUCCGUGGUGAAGAGCGAUGACUGUCUAAAUCCUGCCCCAAAGGCGGCUUACCUUACCUCCUGUCCUGCUUCUCCUGCACAGCUGCCGCCCCAGCGUUCCUGCGAACAAACCUCGCUGCGCUUGCUCCUGCACUUGUCACUCACAGGUCCCUGCACCUGCACUUGGGCAUUUUGCUGGGAGCGACAGAGACUCCGAGGGCUGGCCACAACGGAAGGUGGCCCCACACAGGUGGGCUGAGGGAAGGCCUGAGCCAUUAUCUUGUUCCCCUGUGCCCCACCCCUUCGGUCAGUCUCUUUCCUGGACACAAGCCCUUCUGGUUAGUUUCUCUUGGCGUCCAAGCUGGGUUUUGUCUUGUAAGGAUUCUCAGCUCAAGUCUCUUCUCAUAAACCUUGUCAUUACCAACGUCAUUCCUACAGACAGUUCUGACACUUGAAUCUCUGUCCCACAGUCAGUGACUUCUGGGUAUGUGUACUACUAUUUUUGCUUUUGUUUUUUUGUUUUUUUCUGUCUCAACUAUUUUUUUUUUAUAUUUAGUCAUUUUGUUUUACAUAUGUGUGUUUGACUUCUAUGUACAUAUGUGUACCAUGUACAUGCCUGGUGUUGACCAAGGUUAGAAGAGGGCAUCAAAUCUCCUGGAACUGGAGUUAUGAAUAGUUGUGAAUCACCAUGUGGGUGCUGAGAAUCAAACCCAGGUCCUCUGCAAGAGCAACAAGUGCUCUUAGCCUCGAGUCCCUGCCUCAACUUUACAAAAAGAACAAAAGCAAACAACAGCAACAACAACAACAACUUUUUUUUUGAGACAGAGUCUCACGUAGCUCAGACUGGCCUUGUGUAAACUCAGACAGGGUUUUUCUCUGUAGCCUUGGCUGUCCUGGGACUCACUCUGUAGACCAGGCUGGCCUCGAACUCAGAGACCAGCCUGCCUCGGCCUCUGCAGCACUGGGAUAAAGGUGUGCGCCACCACUGCCCGGCUGAUCCUGAGCUUCUGGUCCUUCUGUCCCUACCUCGAGUGCAGAUUUUACAGGCAGAUGCUACCACACCUGGUUUAUACAGAGCUGGGAAUCAACCCAGGGCUUUAUGCACGCUGAGCAAGCACUCA